Molecule: transfer RNA, 70 nt
Filed under: Acidovorax temperans
Lineage: Bacteria; Pseudomonadati; Pseudomonadota; Betaproteobacteria; Burkholderiales; Comamonadaceae
Also listed under: 1 other name
Rfam family: tRNA
About the family: Transfer RNA (tRNA) molecules are approximately 80 nucleotides in length. Their secondary structure includes four short double-helical elements and three loops (D, anti-codon, and T loops). Further hydrogen bonds mediate the characteristic L-shaped molecular structure. tRNAs have two regions of fundamental functional importance: the anti-codon, which is responsible for specific mRNA codon recognition, and the 3' end, to which the tRNAs corresponding amino acid is attached (by aminoacyl-tRNA synthetases). tRNAs cope with the degeneracy of the genetic code in two manners: having more than one tRNA (with a specific anti-codon) for a particular amino acid; and 'wobble' base-pairing, i.e. permitting non-standard base-pairing at the 3rd anti-codon position.
Source: RNAcentral
GGCUGUAGCUCAGUGGAUAGAGUAUCGGCCUCCGAAGCCGAGGGUCGUGGGUUCGAUCCCCGCCAGCCGC